GUCGUGCCUUUAGGGAUCUCUAGGUUUCCUAAUUUCAUAUCUUCUGAUGCUAAUCGGAGCACAUUUAACACUGGUCCGUAUAGACGAAGUGACUCCAUAAACACCAUGUUCAUCUGCAAUAAUUAUUUGUAGUUAGAUCAAAAAUAAAAUAAAAAAGGUUUCUUCGGCCGCAAGAAACUCCUUUGAAAUUUGCAUUUACCAGUUUGAGUUUGGCGCAUGUCUCUGAAUCUGGGAUUUUGUCUUUACCGCAUUCGUUGAAAACUUCUUCUCUGAGUUUCUCUUGCCAAUCUUGGUGCAAGCUAAGCAACAUUGUACUCCAUGUCAAUAGAUUCGCAGUUGUUUCGUGUCCUGCGAAGAAGAACGUCUUGCAUUCUUCUAUGAUCUCAUCAAUGCUCAUCUUUUUCUCAGACUCGUUAGAGCUUGCAGCUGUUAACAUGAUUCCCAGAAGAUCAUUUCCGUAAUUCUUGGAUUCCGAUUUUAGCCUCGCAUCUAUGAUUCUUUUGGUCGAGCUAUUCACUUUCCUAUCAAGCUUCCAUAUUUGAAGAUUCGAAGGCGUAGGAAGGUACCUUGGGAUACAAGAAAGAAAACAAAUCACUAGAACAAGAAAGAAGUUUUAAAAGUGGAAGAGUGAUUAUACUGAAACUUACUGG
RNAcentral lists this long non-coding RNA (650 nucleotides) under Arabidopsis lyrata. RNAcentral describes it as "long non-coding RNA (ALYR_LNC002201)". Lineage: Eukaryota; Viridiplantae; Streptophyta; Magnoliopsida; Brassicales; Brassicaceae. The record is from RNAcentral.